GUCAAAGUUUAAAUAGUUUCUAUUCAUAUUACUGAAAAAACUCUUUUAAAUGUUUAAAACUGCAAAAAAUAACACGUGCAUGAGCACAAGGAGGUUUUUUCAAUGAAUGAAGGAACUGUAAAAUGGUUUAACGCUGAAAAAGGUUUUGGUUUCAUCGAGCAGGAAGCUGGAGACGACGUAUUCGUACACUUCUCAGCAAUCCAGGGUGAAGGAUACAAAACUUUAGAAGAAGGUCAAAAAGUUACUUUCGAAAUCGAAGAAGGACAACGCGGACCACAAGCUGUCAACGUUGCAACUGUUUAAUAAAUAGUUAAAUUCUUAAGAGAUACCUCCGGGUAUCUCUUUUUU
RNAcentral lists this small RNA (348 nucleotides) under Jeotgalicoccus saudimassiliensis. Its description in RNAcentral is "cspA thermoregulator". It matches the Rfam family "cspA thermoregulator". The record is from Rfam by way of RNAcentral. Lineage: Bacteria; Bacillati; Bacillota; Bacilli; Caryophanales; Staphylococcaceae.